This is a long non-coding RNA of Panicum virgatum (switchgrass), 2910 nucleotides long. RefSeq lists it as uncharacterized. Lineage: Eukaryota; Viridiplantae; Streptophyta; Magnoliopsida; Poales; Poaceae. The transcript has 2 exons. The record is from RefSeq and is a predicted model, not a curated record.
AAAAACGACGCUCGGUCUUUCGACCGUGAGCGCCAUCGCUGCCGCAGGCGGGCUGCCUCCGGGCUCCAGGCGCGGGCGCGAGCCAGCCGGCAGCCAGCCUCUGAGGGCGCGAGGCCGCCGAGGCUGCCUCCGGCAACAUGCGCGUGCCAGCCGGCCACCCGCCGCUAGGAGAGCGAGGCCGCCGGGGCUGUCUCCGACCGGCCAUGGGCUUGGGUCCCGGGAGCGGGCGUAGCCGCUGGCCGCCCAGCCAUGGGCACGGGGCACGAGCCUCUGCCUAGCCAGACCGCCCCACCACGGCGAGGCCGCAGGCCCUGCCGCGGUUCCGGGGCAUGAGGCCGCCAGACGCCUCGUCGCGGGCGUGGCCGCCAGGGCUGACUGGGAGCCGCUGCGUGGCUGUGCUUGCGCCGCGCGGGGCGCAGUCAUCCGCAGUGCGUGGCCGCUGACCGCGGCGCGGAUUGAGCCUGGGCCUGGCCGAGCGAGGGCCGCCGCGGGGGCUCGCCGAGCAUGGAGCCGGUGAGCGCGAUGGAGUUGGGGAAGAUUUCAGAUUGACGAUGAGGAAGGUACGAAUCACGGCAGUUACCUUAAUCCAGUAUUCCUUCUCGUAAUCGUCGUAUCUUGGAGAAGUGCUAGAGCAUGGCUGUAUCGCCGGAUUGUCGAAGGCCAGAGCAGCGGUUGUCAGCCUCGCCAUCGUCAUGAACGAGGCAGAGGAGGCGGGGCGACGAGUUCCGGCGACAGUGCGACUUCGAUCCCCUUCUGGAUUCCCUCUCGAGAGCGCAGAACUGAGAGUAGUGCGCUCUCCUCUACAUGUUCUCGUAGAGCGGUGCUGAUAACGUGUUAAAAGUGAAUGUAAAUGAAUAGAGAUUUUGGGAACAAUUGUUGUUUUCAUUGAUCUCUUUGGAAUAUAUAAGUGAAUGGUUGCGUCGUACGGACGUCGUACGGACGCGACUGUUCGGAAGAAACGCCAAAAGACAUGUCCCUUUGGUGACAAGUCUAAUUGCUAAUACAAAACUAACUGCUAAGUCUUUGAUGAGAUCGAUAGUGAAUGGGUGCAUGUACAUCAACAUGCACCGUUCCACAACAGUUGUAACCAUGGUACGUGAAAACAUGCACGAAACCUACUCAAAAUUUUAUCAUAGCCUCCGCAUAUAUCCUGACAUCUCGACAAGUUUCAUAAUUUUGAGACUUCAUUCAAUUUUUAUAGAAUCUCUACUCCUAAAAAUUGUGUAAGCGGGACGCUGGAUUGCUUCGUCCUGCCUCCGACGGUUCCAGAUCCCUGUUCUCGCCAUCUCGAUCGUCAUCCAUCUUGCCAUCUCGCCCGUCUUCCGUCGUCCCUCCGCCCCCGCCCGCCCGCGUCCGCUCCGUCUCGCCGAUAAUCCCGCGCACUUUCCUACAAUCGCGCCUCCAUCCGAUGCUCGCCCCUCCCUCUCGCCCCACCCCCACCCUGAAGCGCUCCCCCUCCCGACGCCCUGCCCCUCGCGACGAAUCCCCCUCGACCUCGACCCCCCUUGCGUCGCCGCAGCGCGCAAGCCAUUCCGCCGAUGCCGCCCUUCCCUCGCGCCGUACGUCACAGCCUGCGAGCCGGUCUGCGCCGCCAUCCCGCUGCCGUGAGGUGCCCCCUGUUUAGCGCUGCGAGGGGCCCCCAUCCGCCCGUGCGAGGAUGCGGGUCCCCGGCGGCGGCCACAGCUUGUAGAGGGCAGGCACGCAUCAAGAUGGAGCAAAAGGGGCCCGUCGCCAUCCACCUGCACGCAGCCCUUGCGAUCCGCCGAUCCCCCUCCCCUGCACCCGGCCCUCGCCAUCCACUCGGCCUCACCAUUGCCUCCCUCGACCCGCCAUCCUCCUCUCUAUUCGCGUGGAUCGACCAACCCUUUGUAGCGCGAUCCUGGCGGCGGCGCGGCGUCAUGGUGGAUCUGCGGCGCCUCGGCGGCUACCUCCCACUCUCCUCGCGACAACGGUCGCCAUGGAGCGCAGCAAGAGCUUUCCAGCCGGUGCACGAUGCAACUCAAGCGGUGGUUCCCUGCGAGCUUCGGUUGAUCUCGGCGUGAGGAUUUGAGGUCGGCGUUUGCAGCCGUGCACCUGUGUAAACGCCGGCAUCCUCACCAUGGCCGCAGAUCGUCCAGAUACGGUAAGCUGCUAGCUGUGCUCUCGUUGCUCAUCUAUCGUUGGCUUGUAAUCUCAUAUCACGAAUCCUGCAUGCUGUGCUUAACGAAGGGGGUGAUGCAAGUGCACUCUCUGUGUUUGGGUAAACGCCCCAGCGAAGUUGAAGUCCCGCACAGGCCGAACAUCGCUAUUUGUUUCUCUGUAGUCUGUGCAGGUUAGCUGACAAAGCAAGAAAAGAGUUCAAUUGGAAUGCGAAGAGAUGCUGCAUUAUGCAGGUUCUUGAUCGUGCACUGCCUCUACGAUUUAUGAUCUAAGAGCACCAUGUAAAAGAGCCUUGUUUCAUUCGAAUUGACCUAGGUUUAGGAUUUUGUGGGUUGUUUCCUAUCAAACUUCCAGCUUGAUUUAUUUUAUAGGUUCAGCUUUGCAAGUGAAUUAUUAUUUAAAUCCAUCUCCCGUUGUGUUCAGAUAGAGAGAAGGUGAGAGAGAGCAAAGACGAAGCAGCCAACAACCAAAGGUGUCCGAGGGAGACAAAGCUCUUGAUAGAAUUGAGAGGUAGAGAGCAAGGAGGAUGGAACAGGAGGUGUGCUCGUAUUUUUAUUUUGAGAUUCUAAAUGGCUUCACUUUUGGAAUUUAUAGCAUAUUAUCAUGUAAAAGAGGAGAUGAUCACACUGAUAGACACUUGGCAAGAAGCUUUUGGUGGUGUGCGUGCAAGAUAUUCACAAUACUUUGCAGCAUACAUGGAGCUCUUGGUAUUAUUCUAUACAUAUCAAACAUAUUGUAUUAUUUUAUCCAUCUCACAUUUUUAGAUACUCA